Long non-coding RNA from Callorhinus ursinus (northern fur seal), 2342 nucleotides. RefSeq lists it as uncharacterized. The record is from RefSeq and is a predicted model, not a curated record. Lineage: Eukaryota; Metazoa; Chordata; Mammalia; Carnivora; Otariidae.
CCCAACUGCCUUUCUUGCCGUAGAGGCCCUGAACUUCACCCCAGAGAGAGGCAUGGAGUAGACUGCUCCGAAAGAAAAAAUGGAGUCAAGGACACAGAAAAUGAGGCUCCUCUGAAGCAGGUCGAAAAGCCGGUCAGAGCAGUCUGCCCAUCUCGGCCGGGAACCACGGGGGGGUGAUGAGAGCUUGGACAAGGAUAUCUCAGAGCCUUCAAUCUGCCGCCAUGCACUGUGCCUGUCCGAGAGGAGAUGAGGUGUUUUCCCUGCCUCAUUUGACCAGUGGAACCAUCUGCCUGUGACCACCUUGGGUGACUGAGUAUUCUAGCAACGACUUUGACAUGUGCUGUUCUCCACCAGAGCUGCAUGAAGGGUAGCCCCGGACCAGUGGUCUGCAGUGGGGGAAGUACAGAAAUCGAGAGGAAGCUCUUAGCAUCUGUUCUAGCAAAUGCACAGAGUGAUUUGUAUUUGCCUGAUGAGCCUGAAAACAAUGUUGUGGGGCUUAUAUUUUGUAUUUCUUUUUUUAUUAUUAUUAAUUUUAUGUUCCUAGCGGUUGACGUUUAGGACAAUUUGCAGAAAAUAUACAUCUGCAACACACUAAAAAUGUGCAAAAGCCGUCCUUGCCUUCAUAAUCUGAGAGCAAGCCCACCAAUACCUGGAUCUUUCCGCACCACAUCAAGAGUGCAAAGGUUAUCCUGGAGGGGCUCUGGCCUAUCUCCUAGCAUCCCCCAUCCCUGCCCGUUGUGGCCCGUCCACCCUGUGGCCCAGAACGAGGAGCCACGGCAUGUGCCUCGUCCGAAGAGCAGUUCAGGAGGGGCCAGAAGGAGACAGCCCUGGCCCCAUGUGACCUGCCACGUGUAGCCCCGCUCACGUGCCCGUCGCCCUCCCACCCUGGGAAUAUUGCUGACAGCUCUUUGAAAACUUAAGAAAGUAUGACAGGCUUUCAGGAAUGGUGACUUGCCACCGUGGCGCGGAGGCAUGGGAGGAUUUAAGCAGCUCGCUUUAAACAAGGCUUGGCUUUUGUUCUACCUAAUCGUGCUGGUCAUGUGGGGUUUUUUUUCCCACAGCUUUCUGAAGUGUUCUCCAAUAGAGGACUUCAGGCUUUUAAAAACAGUAAUUUUGGUAACAAUGGUAAUUACUUUAAUUGGAGUUCUUUAAAGGUAGAUCCUUCUCGCCCACCUCCUCUUAAGACAUGAAGCAUGCUGUCACCCAUUGCGUCACCCCAAAUCAGCGUGGUAGUCUUUCCUCUUUAGAGCUAUUAAUGGGCCAGGUAGGAGGGGAGUCAAGAAACUUCCAGAACUCACUAUUUUUUAGUCUAAAAUAAUGACAAGUAAUUUUUCCCUUGUUUCCAGGAAGUGGUAGAUAAUCAGCUUUAUGUGUAGAAAAAUACGCACGUUGCAUAUGACUGGGGCUCCCCAGUUAGGCCUUUCACAGAGGAUUAGGACUCUUAAUGCCCCACUGGGCUCCAUUUCGUCACAAAAGCCUUUGGCACAAUCUGUUGGGCUGUCAUGUUUCUGGGGGCCUUGUGUAGUUAUUAAGUGACAUUAGGUAGCCCUGCAUAGGGUCUUUUAUCCGCAAAUAGCCACAUUCUUUAGAGUAGUUGCUUGAGCUGCUUGACACGCCCUAGGGAAGUAGGCAAAGUAUCAUAACCUUCCCUUUCUGUAGGAGACGGGUGAAGGGCAGCAGAACCUUCCUGAAGGAACCCUGUGGCUGUGGGGUCAGGGAGCUCGCAGCGAUACCUGCAAAGACCAGCCUUCCCUCGGGGCCCAUCUGGACAACCUCCUCUGCUUACCUCCUUUCCUAUGACAGUGGGCCAGUCCUUUGGCUCUCGGACUUCUAUUUCAUGCUAAGCUGUGACGUCCUGGUUGGUGUUGGGUGAAACUGCUGUGAAGCGUGUCCAUCACACAUACCUAGGGCAGAGGAAGCCUGGGGAGCUUUGAACUUGGCCUCUGCAGCUCCUUCUGGAUUGUGAUGAGCAAAAGCAAGUAAUUUGCAUUGUGUGGUUCCCAUUCAUUUAUGUUUUCACAUCCUUUCUUUGCCCCUUGUCCACAUUUUAGGAAGAGAAUAAAUAUAAAUGUUUUCUCUAUAAUUUCCUUCCCUCCCUAUACCUAUAUCAAUAUCUAUUUAUGUAUUGUAGGGGAGGAAAAAUUCUCCCCUACCUUCUUUGGGUCUGCAGCUGGGUCUAAAAAUUAAAUUGACAUAGGACAGAUUAGCAGGAGAAAAGCAUACAAGUUUAAUUAAAUAUUUGCGUGUAUGUGGGAGCCAUCUCAAGAUAAUGAAGACCUGAAGAAGUGACCAGAACAGGAAGCUUUCAUACCUUUUAGACAAAGAGACAAUACAUUUUUACU